RNAcentral lists this ribosomal RNA (253 nucleotides) under uncultured bacterium. RNAcentral describes it as "partial 16S ribosomal RNA". It matches the Rfam family "Bacterial small subunit ribosomal RNA", at positions 524 to 776 of the family's 1533-position model. The record is from RNAcentral.
UACGAGGGGGGCGAGCGUUGUUCGGCAUUAUUGGGCGUAAAGGGCGCGUAGGCGGUCGGAUAAGUCUUGUGUGAAAUCUUCGGGCUCAACUCGAAGUCUGCACAGGAAACUAUCUGGCUUGAGUGUGGGAGAGGUGAGUGGAAUUCCUGGUGUAGCGGUGAAAUGCGUAGAUAUCAGGAGGAACACCUGUGGCGAAAGCGGCUCACUGGACCACAACUGACGCUGAGGCGCGAAAGCCAGGGGAGCAAACGGG